This 1409-nucleotide ribosomal RNA is filed under the name Rathayibacter agropyri. RNAcentral describes it as "bacterial SSU rRNA". It matches the Rfam family "Bacterial small subunit ribosomal RNA". Lineage: Bacteria; Bacillati; Actinomycetota; Actinomycetes; Micrococcales; Microbacteriaceae. The record is from RNAcentral.
GUCGAACGAUGAAGCCUAGCUUGCUGGGUGGAUUAGUGGCGAACGGGUGAGUAACACGUGAGUAACCUGCCCUUGACUCUGGGAUAAGCGCUGGAAACGGCGUCUAAUACCGGAUAUGACCUGCCCCGGCAUCGGGUGUGGGUGGAAAGUUUUUCGGUCAAGGAUGGACUCGCGGCCUAUCAGCUUGUUGGUGAGGUAAUGGCUCACCAAGGCGACGACGGGUAGCCGGCCUGAGAGGGUGACCGGCCACACUGGGACUGAGACACGGCCCAGACUCCUACGGGAGGCAGCAGUGGGGAAUAUUGCACAAUGGGCGAAAGCCUGAUGCAGCAACGCCGCGUGGGGGAUGACGGCCUUCGGGUUGUAAACCUCUUUUAGUAGGGAAGAAGGGCUUCGGCUUGACGGUACCUGCAGAAAAAGCACCGGCUAACUACGUGCCAGCAGCCGCGGUAAUACGUAGGGUGCAAGCGUUGUCCGGAAUUAUUGGGCGUAAAGAGCUCGUAGGCGGUUUGUCGCGUCUGCUGUGAAAACCCGAGGCUCAACCUCGGGCCUGCAGUGGGUACGGGCAGACUAGAGUGCGGUAGGGGAGAAUGGAAUUCCUGGUGUAGCGGUGGAAUGCGCAGAUAUCAGGAGGAACACCGAUGGCGAAGGCAGUUCUCUGGGCCGUUACUGACGCUGAGGAGCGAAAGCGUGGGGAGCGAACAGGAUUAGAUACCCUGGUAGUCCACGCCGUAAACGUUGGGAACUAGAUGUGGGGGCCUUUCCACGGUCUCCGUGUCGCAGCUAACGCAUUAAGUUCCCCGCCUGGGGAGUACGGCCGCAAGGCUAAAACUCAAAGGAAUUGACGGGGGCCCGCACAAGCGGCGGAGCAUGCGGAUUAAUUCGAUGCAACGCGAAGAACCUUACCAAGGCUUGACAUAUACCGGAAACUUCCAGAGAUGGUUGCCCCGCAAGGUCGGUAUACAGGUGGUGCAUGGUUGUCGUCAGCUCGUGUCGUGAGAUGUUGGGUUAAGUCCCGCAACGAGCGCAACCCUCGUUCUAUGUUGCCAGCACGUUAUGGUGGGAACUCAUAGGAGACUGCCGGGGUCAACUCGGAGGAAGGUGGGGAUGACGUCAAAUCAUCAUGCCCCUUAUGUCUUGGGCUUCACGCAUGCUACAAUGGCCGGUACAAAGGGCUGCGAUACCGUAAGGUGGAGCGAAUCCCAAAAAGCCGGUCUCAGUUCGGAUUGAGGUCUGCAACUCGACCUCAUGAAGUCGGAGUCGCUAGUAAUCGCAGAUCAGCAACGCUGCGGUGAAUACGUUCCCGGGCCUUGUACACACCGCCCGUCAAGUCAUGAAAGUCGGUAACACCCGAAGCCAGUGGCCUAACCGUUAAGGAGGGAGCUGUCGAAGGUGGGAUCGGUGAUUAG